GAUUCCUUUUGAUUCGAUUAUCUGGGUGGGACUUCGUGGGAUGGACGAACCGGCUGCCUCUAGUUUGAGGAAUUUGAGCUGCGGGGACAUCACAUCAUCGCGCCAGCGCAAGGAGAUCACGUCGCUGCGGCUUGCACAGUGCCCGAACAGCACGGCUGAAAUCUGUUUAAUUUCCGAGACCACAUUAGAGGACAGGAACUGAAUUUUUAUUAAAUUUUGAAGACAAGGAAGACAGUUUAAACACUAUUUCACUCAAUAAGGAAAUUCAGAGAAUCGUGGGUUUAUUUCAACACAA
This is a long non-coding RNA of Hyla sarda, 295 nucleotides long. RefSeq lists it as uncharacterized. Lineage: Eukaryota; Metazoa; Chordata; Amphibia; Anura; Hylidae. The record is from RefSeq and is a predicted model, not a curated record. The transcript is spliced from 3 exons.